Molecule: long non-coding RNA, 1609 nt
Filed under: Lactuca sativa (garden lettuce)
Lineage: Eukaryota; Viridiplantae; Streptophyta; Magnoliopsida; Asterales; Asteraceae
Description: long non-coding RNA (LSAT_LNC004865)
Source: RNAcentral
GGAAAUUGAUUUUAAUAUUAGGGUUUCACGAUUCACAAAUCACCGAUGUCAUACGCUUUAUUCGGUCUUCCCUUCCUCUUCCCAAAGACCUAAAGUCCAACUCCAAACAUUGAACGACGACUGUCAAGACUCAAUCGACGAUCGACUAGCAUGCAGUAGAAAUCGACCAUCGACUCAAUCGACGACGACUGGAGAGUGGAUAUUGACGACGUCGACGAGUCAGUCAAUUACUCAAUCAGCGAUUUCUCCACCAAAAACGCGACCGCCGACUGUGACUUCACGAUUUCGAUUUCUCGCCUCCCAGUUGACUUCUCCACCAGAAAUCGGAGUUAAGUUAUUUAAAAUCUGAAUUUAAGGUUUGCAGUUUGCUGUUUCUCGCCUCUCAAUUUCUGUAUCUCAACGUCGAGUAUUCACAGUUCGACUGCUAGUCUGCGACUACUCCACCUAAGACGCGACUGUGAGUCUGUGACUUCAAGAUUUCUGUUUCUCGCAUCCCAGUCGACUUCUCCACCAGAAAUCGGAAAUAAGUAAUAUAGUCAUGUGUAUUUUGACUUUUUGUGGUUUUUUGUUGACUGUUGUUGACUGCUAGUUUGUUGUUCACUAUAUUUCAUGAUAUACUCAUGUUUAUUUUGAUUGGUUGCAAAUCUGAAUUUGUUCACUGCUCACUGUAAUAUAGUCAUGUUUACAUAUUGUAGUUGUGUAAAGAUUGUAGUUGUGUAAAGAUUUUAGUUGUGUACAGGUUUUAUAGUGGUUGUUUACAAAUUUUGGGAUCUUACUGUAGUUAUUUACAGAGUGUAGUUGUGUAUAGAUUUUGCUAUUUCUAUGAAAAAAUAAUGCUGAUUAGUAUAUUUGUGUGAACCAUUUUCAGAUUUUUUUAGUUAUGUCUUCAGCGGAGCCGAAUCAACCCAAUGAUUCAACCACGGUUAAUGAUACCGCCAAUUCUGCAGUUAACUAUAGCGAGAAACAAAUGAAAUUUAUAUCUCUAAUGUGACGUCAUUUCACCUAUGAAGAAGUUAAUGGAACCAAAAUGGCGGUUUGUAAGUAUUGUAGAAAGGAAAUUACUUAUACAACCAAAAAUGGAACCAAAGGGAUGCAUUCUCACCAUAAGUCAUGCAAAAAAUAUAUGAAUGAAUUUGCUUGAACCAUUGUUUGUUUUUUUCAUUUUAAUAUAUUUUUCUUAUUACCUUUAUUUUUUUUCUUGGUUAGGUUGUGUUAUUGAUGGUGAUGAUUUACAUUCCGAUGAAGACGACGAGGGAAUUGAGGUAAAAUUAUUAAAUUUGUUGUUUUGUAUUGAAUAAACUAAGAUAACAAUUUAUUUUAUUAUCAUUUUUGUUAUUUAUUUAGGGAGGAUAUUCAAAUGUCAAUGAAUGAAGGGUUGAAGGAAAUUAAUGGAUAUUGAAGAUGUAGGACAUGUUGGUAUUUUAUAUUUGUAAUUUUGGAUUUGUCGUAUUUUGCAUUUGUAGUAUUGGAUUUAUCUUUGUAAGAUUGUUGGAAUUGGUGUUUUGUAAUGUUAGAUUCAUAAUGUUGGAUUUUUAAUUUUUUUUUUUGUUUCUAAAAGAUCAGGUUUUAAGUUUUUUAAGUUAUUAAAAAUAGUCUUUUUAGUCUAAAA